UGAUUAUCUGUUUAGCUGAAAUGUACUUGUGUGUUUAUUUGCUUACUUAAUUUCUUGGGACUUUGGAGGUGGGACUGGUACUAGUGGCUCUGGGGUUAGUAACAGUGGUCCUACAGUUCCUUGGCUCUCUAGGAUUCUGGAAGGAAAGUUGUUUAAGAAUUAACCUAACUGUAUUUCUAGCAGAAGCACAAAAGAUCACAUGGAAUUCAAACAGUGAGACUCUCAGUAGCAUAAGAGAGCAUGUCACUACUUGUCUCUGGAUUCCAGUUUCCUAUAAAAUGAAGGGGUUGGCCUAAAUGACAGAGGUCUCCUGCUAGCUCCAUCUAUCUACCCACUCAUCCAUCCCCAGCAGGUUAGUACAUCCCUCAGCUUCUCAGACAGGAGAGGUGAUUGGGUUCAUCCCUUUCUGAAGAAUCUCCAAAGCACAGCCAAAGCUGGGAAGGAAGACCCAUAUGAAUACAGGCGGAUGCCCUAUUUCUUCUGAGGAAAACCAUGAAGAACAGCUCCAACAGAGGAGCCUGGACUACAACCCUGGGCAGGCAGCUCCACCCACCCGUCCACAGGUAGCCUCGGUUGGGCUCCACUAUCCCUGCUCCAGUACCCACUCCCAGCACUUAAGAAUGUCUCCUGUCUGGCUCCAGCAUGAAGGUAACAGAGAAGGAAGAUCUGGAUUUCCGGCAGAUUAAGUGGAGGAGAGAAGAGAGGGACCGAGGAAGAAAAAAAAGGCCGUGGACAAAUGAAAACUGUCUUGUGAACAUAAAGUGAUUGACAUAGAUCACAUCACCUGGAUUAUGAUGAUUUAAAAGGCAGUUCACACACAGAAAUCCCAGAAAGGUUUAGAGCAAAAUAAUGACUUUCAGAGAAGACUGUGAAUUUGGAUCUCUACAUUCCAGUACACUUAUGGGGGAAAAGAAAGUGCUUUUAACUUACAAGUAUUCUGAAUAGUCACUCUUUCGGAGUCUUUUUUUUUUUAAUUGGAAAGUAACAUUUUUCCAUUAGAGGAUUCAAUUCUACUACUGCUGCAAAAGAAUUAUUUCUGGAGUCAGAAUCAAAUCAACCUUUAUAAUCAGUCUAAUGAGUCAGACCCACUGAUAUAUAUUAGUGGACCUGGCUUCUGUUCUAGGUCAGGAACUGAGAGCUCCUGACACUUUGUAAUAGUGUAAUAGGGGAUAAAAUGUCAGAAAUUUCAGUGAAAAUGGAGGUUAAGUUGUGCAUUUUAAAAGCAAUUUUUAGGUAUAAGGUAGUAAGUAGCUAGUACUUAUGUGCCAGCAGUUCAGAAAGCAAAACCCAAUGGCCAAUUAUUCUUUGCUUUGUACAUUUGGGGACUAUAAGCAGACGGACACUAAGGAGCACACAUCCCUGGAUUUAUUUCUCAAAACAUAUCGCACAUUCCUAAUUUUCCUCACAGAUCUUUUUAAAGAUUACUCUCAGAAUGUGCCCAAAGAGUCCCUGAACAAAUGCUAUUCAUUUUGGUAAAUAUAACAAAAAUCAUUAGAAGAUAUCAGCAUUUUAAAUAGCGAUUAUAAUCCGGUGGUUGACUUCUGUAUUGCCCUGUUCGGUAUCUAUAUGUUUUGUAAAGGCUUACAUUGACUUGUUUACAGAUAUACCAUUUGCAUUUAGCUAAUUGUGACGUCUGUGGUCAUUUUCUAUAAAGAGGUUGGUCUUUAAGCUGUUGGUAAUGAAUGUGGCUUAGUUUCUACUGGAAAAUCUGAUUCAGCUUACAUCAUUUUGACUUAUAGCACCUUUGCCAGGAAUGAAAUCUAAGAGUGCAAGACUGCCUUGUUUUUCCCCAGGUCUGCAGAGGCCUGUUGCUUUUAAUGGGUUGUGUGUAGGACACAAGGAUGUGACUCAUCUAUCCACUUAAGAGUCAUAAAACAGUAAUGCAGACAGCUCAGCGUCAGUCAUAACGUUCAUUGUAUGCACCAUACUGAAUGGGCAUUACCAUUUAGUUUUUGUUAUUUUACAGGAAAGUGGGCAUUGGUACCCAGUGGACAAACAAAAUAUUUAUUAAGCUUAUUGUCAUCAAUGUCAUUAAUAUAACUGUUUUCAGUGAGCGUAGAACAAGUGUGUGGAGCUAUUUGUUGUCAACUGAACAUCCCUGCCACCCCUUCUAAUGUCUCCCUGCUCCAUGGAAGAGAAAUCAGGACUGUAGUUGUAAUUUGCAGAAUUCUCUUCUCUGUGAGGUUCAGGAGAGACCAUCCAGGAAGACGCACUUGUAUGAGGAAGGAGGAAGGCAAGGCCAGUAUUCUCCAGUGGCAGUUGUAGGCACACGCAUGGAGAGAUGUAAGGUUCAAAGCAGCUUUCAGAUGAACUUUUGGAGAAUUGCCUUUUGUGCUACGAGAGGGGAUAGAUGUCUAGAGCAUCUCUCGACUCACAAGUUUUGCAGUUUUCCAGGUGAGCUCCUGGGAAUCGUGUGCUUCAGUGCUCCAAGCAGAGUGUUAACAAUGGCCUCCUUGACCUUUGCUUCCCUAACAGUUGCAGAAGCUUCACUUUCUUGUCUAAAACUAUUAAUAUUUGGAAGACACAGAGUGGCUUCUAUUUUCCUGAUAAAAACGUGGCUGAUAUAAGAAGUAAUUAUUUAAAAAUUAAUAAAAAAUUAGAAAAGGUAGAAUGCAUAAAUCAUAGAUUAAAAUAAACUGCCAGUGGGCUAUGGUUACUAUAAAAAUAAGAUGGUCAAAGGCUGAUCAAAUGGAAGAAUGAAUAAAUAAAAGUCAUUCAAAUAAUCAAUCAAUUAUAGAACAAUCAAUUAAAUAUAUUAAAUAUUAAGUUUAUGUAAUUAUAAUUUAUCUAUUAUGUACAUAUUAUAUUUAAUCUGUAAAUAUAUAUGAUAUAUAUAUAACAACUAGGAAUCUAGAUUCGGUAUCACACGAUUAGUACCAAGCAUGAAGUGAGCACAGCAAGCAGGAAGUAAGGCCAGGAUGAAAGAACACAUCCCAGCUAGAAACAGGAAAUUAGAAGUUUGAUUCACUUAUUUAUUCAUGCAACAAAUAUUUUUGAGCACUUUCUACCCCAAGUACUGUGCUAAAUGGUGGAGGAUGCAACAAGAACAAGAUAAACGGGUAACUGCUCUUGAGGUGCUUAUGCUCUACUUGGGAAUAUGGACAAGUGAAUAGCCAACUGUCAUUGAGUGUGAUGCGUGUCAUGAUGAGAGAAGUACAUCGUGUUGUAGGAACACCUAGAGGCAGGAAGUAGGGUGUGGGGUGGGGAGGAAAAAAGACUUCCUGAGAAAGUGGCUUCUAAGCUGAGACUUGAAGGAUGAAAGGAGGUUAAUGGUCAAGGUGCAUGGGGUAGAGGAGAUGGAGGUUGAAGAGGGAGCUCAGAGACUGUUCUGGUAGGCACCCCAUUGUCAGGUGGUAGUGGUGGUAAACUCCACAGGCAAUGGGGAGAUAUCGCAGGGUUUUAAGUAGCAGAAUGAUAUGAUCAGGUUUAUGAUUUCAAAUGAUGCCUCUGGCUGUAGGUUCAAGAAUGGAUUUCAGUGAGCAACGUGGAUGUGGGGAGAACAACUAGAGAGUGUUGUAACAGUCCACAUACGAGAUGUCCAUAACUUGGACAUGGCAGUGGGGAUGGAGAGAAGUUAGCAGAUACAAGAAAUGUUUAGUCGAUGACUGACAGAGAGGUUAGAGAAUGGGAGAAGUCAAGGAUGACUCAUUUCACAUAUACAGAAACUGAAGCUUAGAGGGAUUGCAUAGCUCACCUAAGGUCACAUAGCCCGGAACAGUGAAGUUGGGAUUCAAACCUCAAUUCGGUCAACUCUAGAGCCUUCAACUUUACCUCUAAGCUCUGUAGUGUAUGGACCAGAACAGGCCACGAAGCCUCAAGUUUUAAAAAAUCAUUAGGAUGAGGUCCUUGUGUCACACAAGUUGACUGUUUUGUAUUAAUGUGACAGAGUGGUUCUGCUGGGCUCUCUUCAUCUCUUGUCAUAUCUGUACUGUAUUUUUUCUACUUGAUUUAACUUAUUUUCAUAAUUUUUCCCUGUGUGUGUGUGUAAAUGUUGUUGUAACUAAAGGAAAAUGGAGUGGGGAAAGAAGAAGAUUUCUCCUUCUCACUAAAAUUUUGGUUUCAAGCUAAAGUAAAAACAGAAGGCAUUUCUCCUUUACUUUUUACAGUAUGUAUAUCUGUAGCUGUGGAAGUUCUAGAGGGUAAAAGCCACAACCAGCUGUCACGUUUUGUUUGCCAAAAUGACUAAGAUAAUGGGUAAGGCUGAGAAAGCUGUAAAAUAAUUAUCCCAUAUUGCUCCUAAACACCCACCUUUUCUGUUACACUUGAGAUCUGUUAAACAAGUCUGAAAUAGUUGGAAACAAAUACUGACAUGUCCGUGAUUGUAACUCCCGUCUAUUUGUGGAUGAAUGUCAAGCCUCCCACUCCUGAACAAACCCCUGCGCUGAGCUCCAAACACCCGAGGACAUCCCCGGCCAAGUAACCCGGGCUCCUUAAACUUUAUGUGCUGUGACAAUCUCAGCUGAGCUAAGGCCCCUCGCUACCAUCCCUCUGGCUGUAGGAUCAAGAAUGGAUUUCAAAAGAGCAACAUUACCACUACUACUACUAUUGCUACCACCCCCAGCCUUUUUUCCUGAAACCUGUACCAACCAAGUCAACAAAACCAGAUGCUUAGGAGCUAGUCUAGAUUCCUCUUUCUCUCCUAUUCCUCACAUCUCGUCAGCCAGUAAAUCCUGGCGAUCCUAUCUCUUAAAUACCUCUUUAGUUUUUUCUUCCCUCUUCAUUUCCACUGUGGUUGUCUUAGUACUGGCCACUGCUUCCAAAUUCCUGACGGAUAUUAAUUUUUGUGAUGCAGAAACAAGAAAAUGGAAUGCCCAGUAAUUUGCAAACUCAUAAAUUAUUCUAUAUUUAGUGUGACUUAUUACUUACGUGUUUUUAAAAUAAUAAAAAUUGGUCAUAAUCAUAAAUAAUGAAGAGUUUUUCUGUAACAGGGUUAUACUAAAAAUUUGAGAGGCUUUCUGUAAAGAAAGAAAAAGAGAUAAUAAUAAAUGCUUUGCUACUAUUGCUAUGAACCGAAACACUAUGACACAAUUAUAUAUUUCAAUAAUAUGCAAAAAUGGCCUCUACCUAAUAUACACAUUUGAUAAUAGAAAACAUUAGAAGAGAAAAUAAACACAAAAUCAAUGCCAAGUAAAGAUUAUUAGUACAUUGAGUGAUAAUACAACAAAUAUUAAAUAUUUUUAAAAUUAUCCUUAAUAAAAUUGUAAGACACAUAGGCAUGAAUUUCACUGUCAAAUAGUUUUGGACAAUAUUAGGACAAAUAUUGCAAAUGUAGAAAAAUAUCUUUCAUCUUGUGUUACAUUAAUUGAAUUGAUUGAUUAAAGAUGUGUUCAAAAGCAUCUUCAAAUUGGGAGUCAGGGAACAUGUUGCUUCAAAUAAGUUCAUUUCCUUUUUUAGCAAUGAAAAUAUUUUAUCUGCUUAUUCUGGUUUUCAUUUGUCCAUUGAAAAAUAUACUAUUUUUGUUAAUUCAGAUUUUAGGUCAGUUUCGGGUGGCUUACUAGAACAUUAUAUAACAACAUUAAUUUAUUCUCUUCGUAGUUUUGUUGGGCGGUCAACAUACUUGGAAAGAACUUCAGUGAAUAGCAGAUAUUUAAACACUAGAAAAUGCCAACAAUUCGGGCAAUACUCAAAUAACAUGACAUUCAUAUCUUCUAACAAGGUUACCAUCACCCCUGUGGAUUUGCAUGACAAAAUUGUCCAUUUAGGGAUUUAUUUUGCUUCCGAAACUUGUAUUUCUUGACACACUGCUUAUAGGACUUAUAUAACAGUUACUGAAUGUAUAAUCUUAUUAAUAUUUAUUUUAUUUGCAAGAGUAACUGAUUACCAGCAGACAGGGCUACCAACACACACUGACUCCAUGGCCACAGCCCUAAGAAAGACUGAUUAGGCUGUGGCUGCUUCUGUCUUACAUGCCUCUGCCCCGUUUCCAGAUAUGUCAACCUUAAUACUUGUCUCUGUGGCUCAGGGUUCCUGUUCUUACUUUUGGCUUGAUGUCAUUGGGUUCCUUUGAGCCAGUAAUGUUUCUUUGUUAAUUGUUAAGCUCUAAUUCUCACAGGAGAAUUAUAAUACUUUCAUGUUUCUGAUUUCUUGACUGAUUUUUCUAAAAUUUGGAACUUAGAAAAACAUAUAAAUUUCUUGAGAAAUGUCAGGAAAGAAGUCCCGCAUGGAAACAGUAUUACAGACCCUGUAAUGUCUUAGUCAAAUAAUCACUAUAUAAUACUGGUCUCUGGCCUCUUGCCAUGUCUCCUUUCAGUCUAACCCUCCCACUGCUUAUUCUGUAAAAUGGACGUGAACUUAACAAAUUGUGUUAUAAUUUUAAAAUAUGCUUGCCUUUUCCACGAGACUGCACAUUUCUUAAAAGCAGGAACUGAGUCUUAGCUCUUGAUCUCCAAUGUCUAGCAAUGAAUUGACGCAUUUUAGGUUCUCAAUAUAUGCAUGAUAAAUUGAGAUGAAUUAAAUUGAAUUUAUUUGAAAUAGAAAGAUAGUGAGGACUUCUGGUUUUGGAAACCUGGUAGAUUGAGACAAUACAUCUCUUCCAUGACAAUUGCCUGGGAAUUCUAGAUAACAUACAGUAAAAACUUUAAAAACAGAGUUGAAUUCAGAAGAAAACAACAAAGAAGGCUUUAGGUAGCACAGAUAAGCAAAGACCCUGACAGCUAGAGCCAUAAGCACUGAAGUUGAAGUGCAGCUUGUGGGCCAGGGCAGGGCUUGUGGGGAGGGAGUCUGCAGGGAUGAUGCAGUUUCAGAUCAGGAAUUAAGCUGAGGUUUCUAUAACCAUCUAGGAAAAUGUGUCAUUGUGCUCUUCAGCUCAGUAUUAAGAAAUGCUAAUGGAGGAACAGAUAUUUCAUGCACAAAGAGAGCCCCCCUUCUCACUCUUCCCGUAGGUCUUUUGAACCUGUUCUCCCCCCAGUGAUGCUGUGUUGAGGGCAGAGGUGCGCUCAACAUUGAAUGAGACCACAUUCAGGCUGCAGUGAUUGUGCCCUAAAGAGUUCAAGACAUGAUUGGAGGAAGCCCUGUUCUAUGUUUUUGCUAUUAAAUUCUGAAUGGUAAGCUUAACAUGACCAGAAAACAAGUUAUCAUUCACAUCUUGCAUACACUGGAUGAGCUUGCAUUUUUGGUCAUCACAAAUGAUAC
This 7131-nucleotide long non-coding RNA is filed under the name Homo sapiens (human). Its description in RNAcentral is "long non-coding RNA NONHSAT160909.1". Lineage: Eukaryota; Metazoa; Chordata; Mammalia; Primates; Hominidae. The record is from RNAcentral.